UGGGGAAUUUUGGACAAUGGGCGCAAGCCUGAUCCAGCCAUGCCGCGUGCAGGAUGAAGGCCCUCGGGUUGUAAACUGCUUUUGUACGGAACGAAAAGCCUCUUUCUAAUAAAGAGGGGUGAUGACGGUACCGUAAGAAUAAGCACCGGCUAACUACGUGCCAGCAGCCGCGGUAAUACGUAGGGUGCGAGCGUUAAUCGGAAUUACUGGGCGUAAAGCGUGCGCAGGCGGUCUUGCAAGACAGUGGUGAAGUCCCCGGGCUCAACCUGGGAACUGCCAUUGUGACUGCAAGGCUGGAGUACGGCAGAGGGGGAUGGAAUUCCGCGUGUAGCAGUGAAAUGCGUAGAUAUGCGGAGGAACACCGAUGGCGAAGGCAGUCCCCUGGGCCUGUACUGACGCUCAUGCACGAAAGCGUGGGGAGCAAACA
This 427-nucleotide ribosomal RNA is filed under the name uncultured bacterium. Its description in RNAcentral is "bacterial SSU rRNA". It matches the Rfam family "Bacterial small subunit ribosomal RNA", at positions 355 to 774 of the family's 1533-position model. The record is from RNAcentral.